GGGGUAUAGGUAUCAAAUUGGCAAGGUGGGCUCCUUGACAUUGGAUUCUUCAGCUAGCAGGAGGGCUCGAUCUCACCCUAGGAUCCUUGGGCUCCUCAUGGGGGCACUUUUUGCCUCCUUUUUUCCUUGGCUUUCCGAUGGAUGGCCACUGCUUCCUCGACCUAUGCAUACUUUUGGGUAUGGGUGAGGAGGUUGGUAGAGUCCUUAGUGAAGCUCUUAUC
RNAcentral lists this long non-coding RNA (221 nucleotides) under Elaeis guineensis (African oil palm). RNAcentral describes it as "long non-coding RNA (EGUI_LNC012808)". The record is from RNAcentral. Lineage: Eukaryota; Viridiplantae; Streptophyta; Magnoliopsida; Arecales; Arecaceae.